UACGUAGGGGGCAAGCGUUGUCCGGAUUUAUUGGGCGUAAAGCGCGUGUAGGCGGCCAGGUAGGUCCGUUGUGAAAACUGGAGGCUUAACCUCCAGACGUCGAUGGAAACCGUAUGGCUAGAGUCCGGAAGAGGAGAGUGGAAUUCCUGGUGUAGCGGUGAAAUGCGCAGAUAUCAGGAAGAACACCCGUGGCGAAGGCGGCUCUCUGGGACGGUACUGACGCUGAGACGCGAAAGCGUGGGGAGCGAACAGG
Molecule: ribosomal RNA, 253 nt
Filed under: uncultured bacterium
Lineage: Bacteria
Description: partial 16S ribosomal RNA
Rfam family: Bacterial small subunit ribosomal RNA
Source: RNAcentral